GGGUGCCCCCACAGCCGUGUGUCAGCGCUGCAGGACCGUCACCCCGCACCUGCUCCUCCCUCCCCCGCAGCCAUCCAUGGGAGCAGCGCCCCUGCACGUACAGCUUCUACCCUUCUGUCUGUGAAGUUCCAGGCUAUUUGUCACCUGAUCUGCUUUUGAAUUCAAGGAAAGAAAAUUAUGCAGAAGUUCAAAGAAGGCUUUGAAGAUAAUAUUUUUUCUAAGGUUUUUAACAUGAAAGACAAGCUGCUUUCAUAAUAACCUAACUUGAAUGAUAGAAUGGUUUGGGUUGAACAAAAUCAGUUUCAUCCUCUGAGUACACGUGACAGGAUGGAUUUCAUCAGAACAUAUAAACAAACAUAGGGACCUGCAAUGUGCACAGCCACUCUCAAUUUCCCAGUGAAGUUUCACGCAUCACAAUAAAACCCUGACUGUGUCCAGACCACUAGCAAGAGCCUUGAACCACAACAUGUGAAGGGAAAACCAGCCAACCCACCUCUUCCGGACACAGCUGCACAUCCCUGAUUAGUAAAUCAAGAAAGCUCUCUCCAUGCUCAAGAAAGAGACUUGCACAAACCAUCUGGCUAUGUACACCUAAUUAAGAAGUGUAUAGAUCAUACAUAGAAAUAACUAUUUUGAACAGCAGCCUUGUAAGCAGAAAUUUCAACUUGCACACUGUUGAUUUUCUUCACAGAUAAAAGUUGUAGUUUAUUUUCUCUAUAAAACCCAGGCAACCUUUUCACCCCACUCCUUUUUGCAGUGGGAUUUCAGAUGAUCAUUACCAUGGAUGUUUCUAUGGACAUCUCAUGGUACCAACGACAAUUAAAUUAAAAUUUUAAUAAUGGAUUUUUAACUUCUACCUCAAUGUAUCUAAAAAAAUAAAUGUAUGUAUUAAACAUCCCCUCCACAACACAGAAAUUCCUUCCUUUCCUCCUCUAACUCAUCAACCUAAUUGAACAACACUUUCAUUUGUAAGACUGCAUUCUUGGUUGAGACAUUUUCUUUCAAGGGGAGGUCUACCCUUUAAGAAUGCCUUAUAACACACUUGUUGCCCAAUUAAUCUUAGUUAAGAAAAGAAAAAAAUCCAUACUUGUUAGCAUUAGGAAACACUGAUCACUUAAAAAUCUGUCAAUUCAAGCAUAUCUUGGCUGCACUUUUACACUACUGUGUUUCAAGUAUCCUGAUAGGUGGUAUGUCUACCACAACAAAGGAAAACAAUUAAAAAUUACAAAUACAAUAAAUGCGGAAAAAUACUAACUUAUUAUCCACAAAGUACAAAGAUUAAGGAGCACUCACAAGAAUUACAUACCGAUACUAUGUUACUCUUAUUCAGACCCUUCUAAAAUCAACAAAGGGAAAAGAAGUGGCCAGGAGACAAAGGAGAGGCCAGGAUCACAGAAUAUUGUGAGCUGGAAGGGACCCACAAGGAUCAAGUCCAGCACUUAGGUCAGUGACUCAUACAUUAUUAGCACCAUGCUACAGCCAACUGAGCCCAUCUCAGUGCAGACUUCAAGCAGAUUAAUGCAUCUCUAAUGACAUUGCUCUAAGCACGUGUCUUCAAGAGCUGAGUUCAUGUACUUGGUUAAGCCUAAACCAGAUGGCAUCACCUGGCUGAUUCCAGGGCAAAUUUCAGACAGUGCUGCAGCUUUUCAAAGCUGAACACAAAGACAAUCAACUCACUGAGCAACCUGGCAUUUGUUGCAUAUGCAUUUACUGUAUUACUACAGAAUUCCUAAUCACGUCAUUAAGAAACAUGAAAAGCCUAGAUACAUUUUAUCUUUAGAUUUUUUAUUAUUAUUAUUUCAGAGGCACUUAAUGUCUUACAUUUACAUAGCGCCAUUUCCCCCUCCAAAACACUUUACAGUAUUUACACACAGGAAUGUUUCCCACCGCUGAAAUGCAGCCAUCUGACUAUUUCCAGUACCAUCUUCAAAGCACCAGCAAUUUGAGACUGAAAGUAUUCAUCAGUAUGCUGUCUAUUAAGGUAGUUCAGAAUUCCACUUCAUGAACUUCCAACUUGUGCUAUUAAAGAAACAUAACUAAAAUACAGUAUCACAGUGCAAUUCUGCAACAGAACUGAGACUUCGAUCAUUUUCAUUAGAUUUUUUUACAAUCUCUCACUAGAUCAAGUCUAUCUCAAACAAUUUAAUGUAAGGCCUUUCAAGAAUAUAAUUCUAAAAUAUAAUUCUUUUUUAUAUUUUCUUUAUAAGCCUCCCUUACAAUCAAGCAUAGAGGAAUAUUUUUUUUCCCUUCCAGUAUAAUUAGAAACACCAGGUCCUGGCCCUAAGGAGAUACCAGCAUCCUCACUUUCAACAAACUUCAUAGCACCUAAAGGCAAACCUAUUCCUCCUUGGUUUUGGAGAUGGAUUUUUUUGUUUGCUCGUUGUUAGUUUUAAAAAUAAAUACAAGAUUACACAAAAUUCUGUUACAUCCAGUAAAAUUGUAAAGUACAAUUGGGAUUGGCUGCUGGGGGCAAUGUAAGUGUGCUGUGUAUGGUUUUACUUGUUAGCAUUAAAAACACAUUUAAGUAUCCCAAGUUCACUACUCCACUGCAAAAGACUGCCCUAAUCACAAAGAUCACAGCAACUUCCUCAGUUUAGAGAAUUUUUUCUUUGUCUCUCUAAAAGGCUACUAAAACA
This is a long non-coding RNA of Haemorhous mexicanus (house finch), 2636 nucleotides long. RefSeq lists it as uncharacterized. The transcript is spliced from 2 exons. The record is from RefSeq and is a predicted model, not a curated record. NCBI's taxonomy places the organism in Eukaryota, Metazoa, Chordata, Aves, Passeriformes, Fringillidae.